RNAcentral lists this ribosomal RNA (440 nucleotides) under uncultured bacterium. RNAcentral's name for it is "bacterial SSU rRNA". It matches the Rfam family "Bacterial small subunit ribosomal RNA", at positions 330 to 787 of the family's 1533-position model. The record is from RNAcentral.
ACCAGACUCCUACGGGAGGCAGCAGUGGGGAAUAUUGCACAAUGGGCGAAAGCCUGAUGCAGCGGCGCCGCGUGAGUGAAGAAGUAUUUCGGUAUGUAAAGCUCUCUCAGCAGGGAAGAAAAUGACGGUACCUGACUAAGAAGCCCCGGCUAACUACGUGCCAGCAGCCGCGGUAAUACGUAGGAGGCAAGCGUUAUCCGGAUUUACUGGGUGUAAAGGGAGUGUAGGUGGCAUAACAAGUCAGAAGUGAAAGCCCGGGGCUCAACCGCGGGACUGCUUUUGAAACUGUGUUGCUAGAUUGCAGGAGAGGUAAGUGGAAUUCCUAGUGUAGCGGUGAAAUGCGUAGAUAUUAGGAGGAACACCAGUGGCGAAGGCGGCUUACUGGACUGUAAAUGACGCUGAGGCUCGAAAGCGUGGGGAGCAAACAGGAUUAGAUACCC